CAAUGAGCGCAUGGACGAGCCUCUGACCAUGGCAGUUUUGUCCCAGGAGGGGUCRGCGCCCGCAGCAAGCUCUCUUGUGAAAGCGUUGGAGGAGCUGUGGAUCCGAAGGUCAACGCAUGGAUUUGAUGUUAUUGCAUAGAUGAGAUUUUCAAGUACUGAACAAUAAAAGCACAGAGAUUUAUGCAACGAGGAGAGAGCUAAUAGGAGAAGUAGCGGCGCGUUCCAUGCGUUUAACUCCUCGGCUGCCAUGUGGUACGGAUGACGUUUCUGGCUGGGGGUUACUAACGUGUAGGGAAGAGCUGUUCCCAACCUGUCCGCAAGCGCUGGCGCCGAGCGCAGGCUGCAGCCGCGCUCCGGAGCUCCGCGCAUUCCUCCCCAGGCAGAAAAGCAAGUGCCCGAGAGAAGACAGAUGUAGAGCAUUGGGUCCUGAGAUACUUUGCUGCCCGAAGGAGGAAGCGUAUCCGUAUGGAGCUAGCGCCGCUCAGGACGGGGAGACGGGGGAAGCGCCCGAGC
Long non-coding RNA from Nothoprocta perdicaria, 513 nucleotides. RefSeq lists it as uncharacterized. NCBI's taxonomy places the organism in Eukaryota, Metazoa, Chordata, Aves, Tinamiformes, Tinamidae. The transcript has 2 exons. The record is from RefSeq and is a predicted model, not a curated record.